RNAcentral lists this ribosomal RNA (1552 nucleotides) under Escherichia coli. Its description in RNAcentral is "bacterial SSU rRNA". It matches the Rfam family "Bacterial small subunit ribosomal RNA". The record is from RNAcentral. Lineage: Bacteria; Pseudomonadati; Pseudomonadota; Gammaproteobacteria; Enterobacterales; Enterobacteriaceae.
AAAUUGAAGAGUUUGAUCAUGGCUCAGAUUGAACGCUGGCGGCAGGCCUAACACAUGCAAGUCGAACGGUAACAGGAAGCAGCUUGCUGCUUUGCUGACGAGUGGCGGACGGGUGAGUAAUGUCUGGGAAACUGCCUGAUGGAGGGGGAUAACUACUGGAAACGGUAGCUAAUACCGCAUAACGUCGCAAGACCAAAGAGGGGGACCUUAGGGCCUCUUGCCAUCGGAUGUGCCCAGAUGGGAUUAGCUAGUAGGUGGGGUAACGGCUCACCUAGGCGACGAUCCCUAGCUGGUCUGAGAGGAUGACCAGCCACACUGGAACUGAGACACGGUCCAGACUCCUACGGGAGGCAGCAGUGGGAAUAUUGCACAAUGGGCGCAAGCCUGAUGCAGCCAUGCCGCGUGUAUGAAGAAGGCCUUCGGGUUGUAAAGUACUUUCAGCGGGGAGGAAGGGAGUAAAGUUAAUACCUUUGCUCAUUGACGUUACCCGCAGAAGAAGCACCGGCUAACUCCGUGCCAGCAGCCGCGGUAAUACGGAGGGUGCAAGCGUUAAUCGGAAUUACUGGGCGUAAAGCGCACGCAGGCGGUUUGUUAAGUCAGAUGUGAAAUCCCCGGGCUCAACCUGGGAACUGCAUCUGAUACUGGCAAGCUUGAGUCUCGUAGAGGGGGUAGAAUUCCAGGUGUAGCGGUGAAAUGCGUAGAGAUCUGGAGGAAUACCGGUGGCGAAGGCGGCCCCCUGGACGAAGACUGACGCUCAGGUGCGAAAGCGUGGGGAGCAAACAGGAUUAGAUACCCUGGUAGUCCACGCCGUAAACGAUGUCGACUUGGAGGUUGUGCCCUUGAGGCGUGGCUUCCGGAGCUAACGCGUUAAGUCGACCGCCUGGGGAGUACGGCCGCAAGGUUAAAACUCAAAUGAAUUGACGGGGGCCCGCACAAGCGGUGGAGCAUGUGGUUUAAUUCGAUGCAACGCGAAGAACCUUACCUGGUCUUGACAUCCACGGAAGUUUUCAGAGAUGAGAAUGUGCCUUCGGGAACCGUGAGACAGGUGCUGCAUGGCUGUCGUCAGCUCGUGUUGUGAAAUGUUGGGUUAAGUCCCGCAACGAGCGCAACCCUUAUCCUUUGUUGCCAGCGGUCCGGCCGGGAACUCAAAGGAGACUGCCAGUGAUAAACUGGAGGAAGGUGGGGAUGACGUCAAGUCAUCAUGGCCCUUACGACCAGGGCUACACACGUGCUACAAUGGCGCAUACAAAGAGAAGCGACCUCGCGAGAGCAAGCGGACCUCAUAAAGUGCGUCGUAGUCCGGAUUGGAGUCUGCAACUCGACUCCAUGAAGUCGGAAUCGCUAGUAAUCGUGGAUCAGAAUGCCACGGUGAAUACGUUCCCGGGCCUUGUACACACCGCCCGUCACACCAUGGGAGUGGGUUGCAAAAGAAGUAGGUAGCUUAACCUUCGGGAGGGCGCUUACCACUUUGUGAUUCAUGACUGGGGUGAAGUCGUAACAAGGUAACCGUAGGGGAACCUGCGGUUGGAUCACCUCCUUACCUUAAAGAAGC